This 488-nucleotide ribosomal RNA is filed under the name uncultured bacterium. RNAcentral describes it as "bacterial SSU rRNA". It matches the Rfam family "Bacterial small subunit ribosomal RNA", at positions 21 to 507 of the family's 1533-position model. The record is from RNAcentral.
GGCUCAGGAUGAACGCUGGCGGCGUGCUUAACACAUGCAAGUCGAACGAGAAUCGAUGGAAAGAGGAUUCGUCCAAUUGAAGUUGAGGAAAGUGGCGGACGGGUGAGUAACGCGUGAGUAACCUGCCUUGGAGUGGGGAAUAACACAGAGAAAUUUGUGCUAAUACCGCAUAAUGCAUUUGUAUCGCAUGGUACUGAAUGCCAAAGAUUUAUCGCUCUGAGAUGGACUCGCGUCUGAUUAGCUAGUUGGCGGGGUAACGGCCCACCAAGGCGACGAUCAGUAGCCGGACUGAGAGGUUGGCCGGCCACAUUGGGACUGAGACACGGCCCAGACUCCUACGGGAGGCAGCAGUGGGGAAUAUUGGGCAAUGGGCGCAAGCCUGACCCAGCAACGCCGCGUGAAGGAAGAAGGCUUUCGGGUUGUAAACUUCUUUUGUCAGGGACGAAUAAAUGACGGUACCUGACGAAUAAGCCACGGCUAACUACGUG